This is a non-coding RNA of Ameiurus melas (black bullhead), 99 nucleotides long. Lineage: Eukaryota; Metazoa; Chordata; Actinopteri; Siluriformes; Ictaluridae. The record is from the annotation of a GenBank genome assembly.
GGCAGCGGUAGCUCAGUGGGUAAGACAUUGGGCUCUUGAUCCCAAGCUCUUGACCUUCUCUUUAUCAGAAGGUCAUGGGUUCACAUCCCAGCCCUGCCA